Molecule: long non-coding RNA, 1103 nt
Filed under: Monodelphis domestica (gray short-tailed opossum)
Lineage: Eukaryota; Metazoa; Chordata; Mammalia; Didelphimorphia; Didelphidae
Description: lncRNA (ENSMODG00000049315.1)
Source: RNAcentral
UGCCUGGUUCCCCUUUUUAUUUUGUGAAUUUGGAAUAUCCCACUUAUAGGUUUUGCUCCUCAGAGUAUGAGUUCCUGUUAGUGUCUUUUUCAUGAGGAAAGAUGUGUGUUAGCAAACACCAGUCUAGAGGGCUAAGUUUAAUUGUCUGGUUUUAUCUUGGAGUCUUCUCUAACCCUUCCUCCAUCCUUCCUCCAUCCUUCCUCCAUCCUUCCUUCCUUCCUUCCUUCCUUUCUUUCUUUCUUUCUCUAAACCAAUAUAGCCACUGCUGCAAAUACUGUUUGAAAGUGUAUUUCACAGCUCGCUGGGUUUUUCUGUUUUCCACUUUCAAACAUAUGUAGCUCGAUUAAAAUUUCUGCUGAUCAGGAUGGCUAGUGGAGGCAAGUUGCUGCUGCAGAAUCUGCAGUCCCGUGGGAUUAGAGCAGAAAGCAUGCACCAAAGUCUCUCCAUGUAAGAAGUUAAAGAAUAAGGCUUUAACUGCCACAAUAGUUGCAUCUGACACUGAACUGCAUUCCCCGCCCAAAUACCCAACCUGAUUAUAGGAAGAGGCUUUUAUAAAUGUAUCUGUGUAGUUUUUAUGUUACUUUUAAAUGUUAUUAUUUGUUUUGAACAUUAUUUUCUUUUUAUUUUGAGUUCCAGAUUCUCUCCCUUUCUACCAUCCCUCCCCUUCCCUCUGAGAAGGCAAACAAUAUAUCAUCAAUUAUUUUUAAAAAAUUUACAACUUGAUAAAAUUUUAAAUCAUUGUUUUCUACCAUAUCAAUUAUAUAUGUGAAAUCAUGCAAAACAUAUUUCCAUAUUAGUCACAUUGGAAAAAAAGAAGAAAGGAAGAAAGGAAGAAAGGAAGAAAGGAAGAAAGGAAGAAAGGAAGAAAGAAAGAAAGAAAGAAAGAAAGAAAGAAAGAAAGAAAGAAAGAAAGAAAGAAAGAAAGAAAGAAAGAAAGAAAGAAAGAAAGAAAGAAAGAAAGAAAAAGGAAGGAAGGAAGGAAGGAAGGAAGGAAGGAAGGAAGGAAGGAAGGAAGGAAGGAAGGAAGGAAGGAAGGAAGGAAGGAAUUAUGCUUCAGUUUGCACCCAUGUUCUUCAGUUCUCUCUCUGGAAGUAGAUAGCAUU